This 474-nucleotide ribosomal RNA is filed under the name uncultured organism. RNAcentral describes it as "partial 16S ribosomal RNA". It matches the Rfam family "Bacterial small subunit ribosomal RNA", at positions 334 to 799 of the family's 1533-position model. The record is from RNAcentral.
CACUCCUGCGGGAGGCAGCAGUGGGGAAUUUUGGACAAUGGGCGCAAGCCUGAUCCAGCCAUGCCGCGUGCGGGAAGAAGGCCUUCGGGUUGUAAACCGCUUUUGUCAGGGAAGAAAAGGUUCUGGCUAAUACCUGGGACUCAUGACGGUACCUGAAGAAUAAGCACCGGCUAACUACGUGCCAGCAGCCGCGGUAAUACGUAGGGUGCAAGCGUUAAUCGGAAUUACUGGGCGUAAAGCGUGCGCAGGCGGUUAUGCAAGACAGAGGUGAAAUCCCCGGGCUCAACCUGGGAACUGCCUUUGUGACUGCAUGGCUAGAGUACGGUAGAGGGGGAUGGAAUUCCGCGUGUAGCAGUGAAAUGCGUAGAUAUGCGGAGGAACACCGAUGGCGAAGGCAAUCCCCUGGACCUGUACUGACGCUCAUGCACGAAAGCGUGGGGAGCAAACAGGAUUAGAUACCCGUGUAGUCCCAUG